Equus caballus (horse) is the source of this 1560-nucleotide non-coding RNA. The record is from RefSeq and is a predicted model, not a curated record. Lineage: Eukaryota; Metazoa; Chordata; Mammalia; Perissodactyla; Equidae.
UGAUGCCUUGCCCUAAUAAUAAGGGAUUUAAUGCUUUGAUAGGAUGUUUUUUGUUUUACUAUACUUUUCAAGAGAAAGAUUGAGACUAUUACUUGAAGGAAUAUUCUUGUGAGACUGAAGAAUUUGGAACUUAUUAGAGGAUGAGGUGUUGUUGCAUAUUUGAACAAAGCCUUUCCUGUGUUGAAAUGAUGAUGACAUUGCUAUGUGAGACUGUAUCAGGCAGAAGAUUUCUAAAGUGAACAUUUGCUACUGGGAUCUAGUGAGUACUUUCUUCAUCACCAAGAUUAAAUAACUACGUGAAUAUUCUCCAUAUCCAUUUUUGUCCUUGAAAGUUGGGUGAAUGGUCCAAAGAAUGAAUGAUAAUAUUUGAGUGGAAACUAUGUGUGAAAUGCUCAUUAUAUCUAGAAAACUCUAGCUAUCUGAAGUGAGGAAAAAUAUACCAAAUCAAUUUAGGAGAAUUAGAUUCUACCAACCAACGUAGAAUCCGUAUGUAUUUAUGUCUGUAGUGUUUGAUAUUUCCAUGCACAGUGCUUUUCAUUUCUAACAGACAUGCUUACAGAACUUUGCUUUGUUCUAGAGAUCAGAGUUCUGAAGCCAAGGUGUACUUACAGAGGUGGGACAAAGGAAGUCAAUCUGAUUAAUUGUAUUCUCCUGGAGAGCCAUCACUAAAAGUGCAGCCAUCCAUCUCUGACUUCUCCAGCCAUGGAGAUAUUGGCCAUCACAUGAUCCAGAAGGGCAUGGCGGUGAAAGAAGGUAACCCCACUCUCAUCAGACUGCAGCAUCAAAGACAGUCCAACUCUGCAAUCUUAACACACUGAAGUUGCUUAUUUCGAUAGCCAACAUUGAUUGUCCUAAUACAAUGUAACAUACCAUCAGAAUUUCUCCUAAUAAUUUAUUAAAUUAUUAUAGGAGUGAUUCACCAUAGUGCCAAGUUCUAUGAUACACUUAAAGAAAAUGUUUGCAGUUGUUAAUGUUUGCUUCCUCUUCUACUUGUAAAAAUCUUAUAUGCAGCAUCUUACAUAUAUGUUUAGAAAAUCGUGAAAAAUUGAUCAAAUCAAGUUCUGUCUAGAAUAUAUAUAUAUAACUUCCUAAGUAAUUUGAAUUCUCUUUACAAUUAAGUACUUAAUAUGUGUAAUAAUUAUAUAAUUCUAAUAUAAUAAUUCCAAUAUAUAAUAUAACAUAGAAUAAGUAAAUAAUUUUAAUACUUAAAAUUUAAUGUGAUUUGUACAGAUUUUCCUGUGAAAAUAUAACGUGGAAUUUGAAAAUUAUGAAAGAAUGACUAAAAUUACACAUCUGUGAAGAGAUGCAAUAUUUUUAUAUUUUGAUUCUACUAUCUGGAAAUUACAGAGGCAGUCAAAGGCUUAGUGAGUGUUAUGAUUAUCCAGGUUUUAUCUUGCAAUUUCUUCAUUCUGAUUUUACUUGUAUUUCAUUUCUUGUGUUUCACUACUCUCAUAUACUGAAAUACUAGUUGACUUUUCUAUAAUUAAAUUCACCUAAGCUUAUGAGAACCUAUUUUUUUAUUUACUGAAGAAAAAAUUAAAACAGUAAAUUUGCCCUUAA